RNAcentral lists this ribosomal RNA (831 nucleotides) under Oscillatoria sp. BS-W. RNAcentral describes it as "partial 23S ribosomal RNA". It matches the Rfam family "Bacterial large subunit ribosomal RNA", at positions 900 to 1730 of the family's 2925-position model. Lineage: Bacteria; Bacillati; Cyanobacteriota; Cyanophyceae; Oscillatoriales; Oscillatoriaceae. The record is from RNAcentral.
GGGUAAAAGCACUGUUUNGGUGCGGGNUGNGAGAGCGGUACCAAAUCGAGACAAACUCUGARUACCAAACGGGUACUUAGCCAGUCAGACGGUGGGGGAUAAGCUUCAUCGUCAAGAGGGAAACAGCCCAGACCAUCAGCUAAGGUCCCCAAAUAACCACUAAGUGAGAAAGGAGGUGGGAUUGCAUUGACAACCAGGAGGUUUGCCUAGAAGCAGCCAACCUUGAAAGAGUGCGUAAUAGCUCACUGGUCAAGCGAUCCUGCGCCGAAAAUGAACGGGGCUAAGUGGUUUACCGAAGCUAUGGACUUUUUAAUUAAUUAAGAAGUGGUAGGGGAGCGUUCCGUGGUAGUGAGAAGCACUAGCGGUAAGCAGGUGUGGACGAAACGGAAGUGAGAAUGUCGGCUUGAGUAGCGCAAAUGUGGGUGAGAAUCCCACACCCCGAAACCCCAAGGGUUCCGCCGCCAGGCUCGUCCGCGGCGGGUUAGUCAGGACCUAAGGCGAGGCCGAGAGGCGUAGUCGAUGGACAACGGGUGAACAUUCCCGUACCGUUGGUGGUUGGUGCAGAGGGACGGAGAAGGCAAUUGCCAGCCGGAUGUUGGUUACCGGUGUAAGCGUUCGAGGUGUUGAGGAGCGGAGAAAACGUUCUGAGCUGAGGCGCGAGUCCGACCUUCUACGGAAGGGAAGUGGUGGAUGUCAUGCUUCCAAGAAAAGCUCUAAACACCNUANAUCAUCAAUGCCUGUANCCAGAAAMUGACACNGNAGKUGGGGGGGUAGAGGUAWASCACKGGKCGYGAGAUNNCUCUCUCUNANGAANNNNGCAAAAUGGCCCCC